RNAcentral lists this ribosomal RNA (481 nucleotides) under uncultured fungus. Its description in RNAcentral is "eukaryotic LSU rRNA". The stretch from base 310 to 481 matches the Rfam family "Eukaryotic large subunit ribosomal RNA", at positions 1 to 170 of the family's 3401-position model. The record is from RNAcentral. Lineage: Eukaryota; Fungi.
AAUGCGAUAAGUAAUGUGAAUUGCAGAAUUCAGUGAAUCAUCGAAUCUUUGAACGCACCUUGCGCCCCUUGGUAUUCCGAGGGGCACACCCGUUUGAGUGUCGUGAAAUUCUCAACUCAACCACCUUUGCUGGUGUUUGGGCUUGGACUUGGGGGUUUGCUGGCUUCGGUCGGCUCCCCUUGAAUGCAUUAGCUCGAACCCUUGCGGAUCAGCUAUCGGUGUGAUAAUUGUCUACGCCGUGGUUGUGAUGCCACCUUCGGGUGUUGGAUCGGCUUCUAACUGUCCCCUAGGGACAAUUUCUUUGAAAUCUGACCUCAAAUCGGGUGGGACUACCCGCUGAACUUAAGCAUAUCAAUAAGCGGAGGAAAAGAAACUAACAAGGAUUCCCCUAGUAACUGCGAGUGAAGCGGGAAAAGCUCAAAUUUAAAAUCUGGCGGUCUUUGGCCGUCCGAGUUGUAGUCUGGAGAAGCGUCUUCCGCGC